Molecule: ribosomal RNA, 260 nt
Filed under: uncultured bacterium
Lineage: Bacteria
Description: partial 16S ribosomal RNA
Rfam family: Bacterial small subunit ribosomal RNA
Source: RNAcentral
GUCCACGCCGUAAACGAUGGGUACUAGGUGUAGGGGUAUCGACUCCCCUGUGCCGUCGUUAACACAAUAAGUACCCCGCCUGGGGAGUACGGUCGCAAGACUAAAACUCAAAGGAAUUGACGGGGCCCGCACAAGCAGCGGAGCAUGUGGUUUAAUUCGAAGCAACGCGAAGAACCUUACCUAGACUUGACAUCUCCUGAAUUACUCUUAAAUCGAGGAAGCCCUUCGGGGCAGGAAGACAGGUGGUGCAUGGUUGUCGU